Small nucleolar RNA from Ornithorhynchus anatinus (platypus), 138 nucleotides. The record is from RefSeq and is a predicted model, not a curated record. NCBI's taxonomy places the organism in Eukaryota, Metazoa, Chordata, Mammalia, Monotremata, Ornithorhynchidae.
CCCCUCUCAGGAUCACAGCUGGAGAGUUUCCAGUACUCUACCAGUCUCGAUUACAAGAGGGAGAGUCAGGCAGAGGCAUAUCCAUUCCAUUCCUAGCUUGGGCAGUGGCGAGCGAGUGGCAGGCAAUCUGCUACAAGU